RNAcentral lists this ribosomal RNA (278 nucleotides) under uncultured bacterium. RNAcentral's name for it is "partial 16S ribosomal RNA". It matches the Rfam family "Bacterial small subunit ribosomal RNA", at positions 506 to 784 of the family's 1533-position model. The record is from RNAcentral.
UGCCACCGCCGCGGUAAUACGGAGGGUGCAAGCGUUAUCCGGAAUCACUGGGUUUAAAGGGUGCGUAGGCGGCUAUAUAAGUCAGGAGUGAAAUGUUCCCGCUCAACGGGAGAGCUGCUUUUGAUACUGUAUAGCUUGAAUUAGGUUGAGGUUAGCGGAAUGUGACAUGUAGCGGUGAAAUGCAUAGAUAUGUCAUAGAACACCAAUUGCGAAGGCAGCUAGCUGGACCUUAAUUGACGCUGAGGCACGAAAGCGUGGGGAGCGAACAGGAUUAGAUA